RNAcentral lists this ribosomal RNA (253 nucleotides) under uncultured bacterium. RNAcentral's name for it is "partial 16S ribosomal RNA". It matches the Rfam family "Bacterial small subunit ribosomal RNA", at positions 524 to 776 of the family's 1533-position model. The record is from RNAcentral.
UACGUAGGUGGCAAGCGUUGUCCGGAUUUAUUGGGUUUAAAGGGUGCGUAGGCGGCCUUAUAAGUCAGUGCUGAAAUAUCCCGGCUUAACCGGGAGGGUGGCAUUGAUACUGUAGGGCUUGAGUGGAGUCGAAGUAGGCGGAAUUGACGGUGUAGCGGUGAAAUGCUUAGAUAUCGUCAAGAACACCGAUAGUGAAGACAGCUUACUAGGCUUUAACUGACGCUGAGGCACGAAAGUGUGGGGAUCAAACAGG